AGUGCAAAUUCACCACGGGCCCGUAUCGAUGCGACGACACAUCCUCCAGUUCGACCGGUCCGGAGGGAGGCGACCGAGACGCCUC
Molecule: non-coding RNA, 85 nt
Filed under: Thalassiosira antarctica
Lineage: Eukaryota; Bacillariophyta; Thalassiosirophyceae; Thalassiosirales; Thalassiosiraceae
Source: RNAcentral